GAUGAACGCUAGCGGCAGGCCUAACACAUGCAAGUCGAGGGGUAGAACACUUCGGUGUUUGAGACCGGCGCACGGGUGCGUAACGCGUAUGCAAUCUACCUUGUACAGGGGGAUAGCCCAGAGAAAUUUGGAUUAAUACCUCAUAGUGUUAUCGAAUGGCAUCGUUUGAUAACUAAAGUUCCAACGGUACAAGAUGAGCAUGCGUCCCAUUAGUUAGUUGGUAAGGUAACGGCUUACCAAGACAAUGAUGGGUAGGGGUCCUGAGAGGGAGAUCCCCCACACUGGUACUGAGACACGGACCAGACUCUUACGGGAGGCAGCAGUGAGGAAUAUUGGACAAUGGGCGCAAGCCUGAUCCAGCCAUGCCGCGUGCAGGAUGACUGCCCUAUGGGUUGUAAACUGCUUUUAUACAGGAAGAAACACUGCUACGAGUAGCAGCUUGACGGUACUGUAGGAAUAAGGAUCGGCUAACUCCGUGCCAGCAGCCG
RNAcentral lists this ribosomal RNA (488 nucleotides) under uncultured bacterium. RNAcentral's name for it is "bacterial SSU rRNA". It matches the Rfam family "Bacterial small subunit ribosomal RNA", at positions 28 to 517 of the family's 1533-position model. The record is from RNAcentral.